This 424-nucleotide ribosomal RNA is filed under the name uncultured bacterium. Its description in RNAcentral is "bacterial SSU rRNA". It matches the Rfam family "Bacterial small subunit ribosomal RNA", at positions 917 to 1344 of the family's 1533-position model. The record is from RNAcentral.
GGGCCCGCACAAGCGGUGGAGCAUGUGGUUUAAUUCGAUGAUACGCGAGGAACCUUACCAGGGCUUAAAUGUAAGUUGCAUAAAUCAGAGAUGAUUUUUUCUUCGGACUACUUACAAGGUGCUGCAUGGUUGUCGUCAGCUCGUGCCGUGAGGUGUCAGGUUAAGUCCUAUAACGAGCGCAACCCCUGUCGUUAGUUGCCAGCAUGUAAUGAUGGGAACUCUAACGGGACUGCCGGUGCAAACCGCGAGGAAGGUGGGGAUGACGUCAAAUCAUCACGGCCCUUACGUCCUGGGCUACACACGUGCUACAAUGGUCGGUACAGAGAGCAGCCACUACGCGAGUAGGAGCGAAUCUUCAAAACCGAUCUCAGUUCGGAUCGCAGUCUGCAACUCGACUGCGUGAAGCUGGAAUCGCUAGUAAUCG